UGGGGAAUUUUGCACAAUGGGGGAAACCCUGAUGCAGCGACGCCGCGUGAUUUAGAAGGCCUUCGGGUUGUAAAAAUCUUUUCUAUGGGAAGAAAAUGACAGUACCAUAGGAAUAAGGACCGGCUAAUUACGUGCCAGCAGCCGCGGGAAUACGUAAGGUCCGAGCGUUGUCCGGAAUCAUUGGGCGUAAAGGGUACGUAGGCGGGUAAGCAAGUUAGAAGUGAAAUCCUAUAGCUCAACUAUGGUAAGCUUUUAAAACUGCUCAUCUUGAGGUAUGGAAGGGAAAGUGGAAUUCCUAGUGUAGCGGUGAAAUGCGCAGAUAUUAGGGGGAAUACCGGUGGCGAAGGCGACUUUCUGGCCAUAACCUGACGCUGAGGUACGAAAGCGUGGGUAGCAAACAGG
Molecule: ribosomal RNA, 402 nt
Filed under: bacterium
Lineage: Bacteria
Description: partial 16S ribosomal RNA
Rfam family: Bacterial small subunit ribosomal RNA
Source: RNAcentral